GAUGAACGCUAGCUACAGGCUUAACACAUGCAAGUCGAGGGGCAGCAUGAACUUAGCUUGCUAAGUUUGAUGGCGACCGGCGCACGGGUGAGUAACACGUAUCCAACCUGCCGAUGACUCGGGGAUAGCCUUUCGAAAGAAAGAUUAAUAUCCGAUAGCAUAUAUUUCCCGCAUGGGUUUUAUAUUAAAGAAAUUCGGUAUGAGAUGGGGAUGCGUUCCAUUAGUUUGUUGGCGGGGUUAACGGCCCGACCAAGACUACGAUGGAUAGGGGUUCUGAGNGGAAGGUCCCCCGACAUUGGAACUGAGACACGGUCCAAACUCCUACGGGAGCAGCAGUGAGGAAUAUUGGUCAAUGGGCGAGAGCCUGAACC
RNAcentral lists this ribosomal RNA (371 nucleotides) under uncultured bacterium. RNAcentral's name for it is "bacterial SSU rRNA". It matches the Rfam family "Bacterial small subunit ribosomal RNA", at positions 28 to 389 of the family's 1533-position model. The record is from RNAcentral.